Molecule: ribosomal RNA, 240 nt
Filed under: uncultured bacterium
Lineage: Bacteria
Description: partial 16S ribosomal RNA
Rfam family: Bacterial small subunit ribosomal RNA
Source: RNAcentral
AGCGAACGCUGGCGGCAGGCUUAACACAUGCAAGUCGAGCGGGCGUAGCAAUACGUCAGCGGCAGACGGGUGAGUAACGCGUGGGAACAUACCUUUUGGUUCGGAACAACACAGGGAAACUUGUGCUAAUACCGGAUAAGCCCUUACGGGGAAAGAUUAUCGCCGAAAGAUUGGCCCGCGUCUGAUUAGCUAGUUGGUGAGGUAACGGCUCACCAAGGCGACGAUCAGUAGCUGGUCNGA